This 1897-nucleotide ribosomal RNA is filed under the name Shigella flexneri. RNAcentral describes it as "partial 23S ribosomal RNA". It matches the Rfam family "Bacterial large subunit ribosomal RNA", at positions 68 to 1990 of the family's 2925-position model. Lineage: Bacteria; Pseudomonadati; Pseudomonadota; Gammaproteobacteria; Enterobacterales; Enterobacteriaceae. The record is from RNAcentral.
GCGAUAAGCGUCGGUAAGGUGAUAUGAACCGUUAUAACCGGCGAUUUCCGAAUGGGGAAACCCAGUGUGAUUCGUCACACUAUCAUUAACUGAAUCCAUAGGUUAAUGAGGCGAACCGGGGGAACUGAAACAUCUAAGUACCCCGAGGAAAAGAAAUCAACCGAGAUUCCCCCAGUAGCGGCGAGCGAACGGGGAGCAGCCCAGAGCCUGAAUCAGUGUGUGUGUUAGUGGAAGCGUCUGGAAAGGCGUGCGAUACAGGGUGACAGCCCCGUACACAAAAAUGCACAUACUGUGAGCUCGAUGAGUAGGGCGGGACACGUGGUAUCCUGUCUGAAUAUGGGGGGACCAUCCUCCAAGGCUAAAUACUCCUGACUGACCGAUAGUGAACCAGUACCGUGAGGGAAAGGCGAAAAGAACCCCGGCGAGGGGAGUGAAAAAGAACCUGAAACCGUGUACGUACAAGCAGUGGGAGCACGCUUAGGCGUGUGACUGCGUACCUUUUGUAUAAUGGGUCAGCGACUUAUAUUCUGUAGCAAGGUUAACCGAAUAGGGGAGCCGAAGGGAAACCGAGUCUUAACUGGGCGUUAAGUUGCAGGGUAUAGACCCGAAACCCGGUGAUCUAGCCAUGGGCAGGUUGAAGGUUGGGUAACACUAACUGGAGGACCGAACCGACUAAUGUUGAAAAAUUAGCGGAUGACUUGUGGCUGGGGGUGAAAGGCCAAUCAAACCGGGAGAUAGCUGGUUCUCCCCGAAAGCUAUUUAGGUAGCGCCUCGUGAAUUCAUCUCCGGGGGUAGAGCACUGUUUCGGCAAGGGGGUCAUCCCGACUUACCAACCCGAUGCAAACUGCGAAUACCGGAGAAUGUUAUUACGGGAGACACACGGCGGGUGCUAACGUCCGUCGUGAAGAGGGAAACAACCCAGACCGCCAGCUAAGGUCCCAAAGUCAUGGUUAAGUGGGAAACGAUGUGGGAAGGCCCAGACAGCCAGGAUGUUGGCUUAGAAGCAGCCAUCAUUUAAAGAAAGCGUAAUAGCUCACUGGUCGAGUCGGCCUGCGCGGAAGAUGUAACGGGGCUAAACCAUGCACCGAAGCUGCGGCAGCGACGCUUAUGCGUUGUUGGGUAGGGGAGCGUUCUGUAAGCCUGUGAAGGUGUGCUGUGAGGUAUGCUGGAGGUAUCAGAAGUGCGAAUGCUGACAUAAGUAACGAUAAAGCGGGUGAAAAGCCCGCUCGCCGGAAGACCAAGGGUUCCUGUCCAACGUUAAUCGGGGCAGGGUGAGUCGACCCCUAAGGCGAGGCCGAAAGGCGUAGUCGAUGGGAAACAGGUUAAUAUUCCUGUACUUGGUGUUACUGCGAAGGGGGGACGGAGAAGGCUAUGUUGGCCGGGCGACGGUUGUCCCGGUUUAAGCGUGUAGGCUGGUUUUCCAGGCAAAUCCGGAAAAUCAAGGCCGAGGCGUGAUGACGAGGCACUACGGUGCUGAAGCAACAAAUGCCCUGCUUCCAGGAAAAGCCUCUAAGCAUCAGGUAACAUCAAAUCGUACCCCAAACCGACACAGGUGGUCAGGUAGAGAAUACCAAGGCGCUUGAGAGAACUCGGGUGAAGGAACUAGGCAAAAUGGUGCCGUAACUUCGGGAGAAGGCACGCUGAUACGUAGGUGAAGCGACUUGCUCGUGGAGCUGAAAUCAGUCGAAGAUACCAGCUGGCUGCAACUGUUUAUUAAAAACACAGCACUGUGCAAACACGAAAGUGGACGUAUACGGUGUGACGCCUGCCCGGUGCCGGAAGGUUAAUUGAUGGGGUUAGCGCAAGCGAAGCUCUUGAUCGAAGCCCCGGUAAACGGCGGCCGUAACUAUAACGGUCCUAAGGUAGCGAAAUUCCUUGUCGGGUAAGUUCCGACCUG